CAUAACCUUUCUGAGCUCUAUCUCUUUCUCUCUCCUUUUAAAAGUUUUAUAAUACGUUAUGGCUUUUUUUUUUCUACGAUUUCAUAACAAUAAAGAAUUUUUUAGUUGGCGUCGCAUUAACAUGCAAACGAUAUAUUAUAAAAGAAUGAUGAAUAUGAUUUUUAUUCUGUACUGUAUAGUAAUAAAGCAGUAUACCAUGGCGUACGUGUCAGGCAAAACAUAACUAAGCGGAGCAUCUGAUGCUAAAGCCUUUGAUCAAGUGCUGAUCUCCAAAUCGUUUGUUCCAUUCUCUUCAAAUGCCACCACUACCUAAUUGGCGUUGUCAUCUUGUUUACUGUCACUGAUGAUUCGAAUUCUUCUGCGCUCAGCAGUUUUGGAACUCUGCUAUAAAACAGCAUGUUUGGAAGAAGACAAUAAUCGUGGCUACCGAGUUAGAUUUAUAAAAACUUUCAUUGUUCAGUACUACAUCUCGUUUGUUUUAGACAGAUCUUGAGUGAAAAAUGGCUUCAGUGAAGGCUGAAAAAACAGUGAGCACUCAAUCAUCUGGGCAGGUGAAGGAGCCUGCAGCCAAGCCCAGUGAUAAUGCAACCAAAGCUCCAGCAUCCAAGUCUGGUGCAAAGAAAGCCGCACCGAAGGCACCUCCGGAACCAAAGAAGAAGGGAAAAGGAGGCAAAUCAUCAAAGCACUAACCAAACUUACUUAAUGUUUGCUGUGUGAUGUCUGAGUACAAAAAGCAGCUACAAGAAGAUCACAGUUUACAUUUCUAUAAUACCCUUAUGGUUUAGUUAAAUUGCAUGUGUACUAAGAAAUUAAUAUCCAUGUAAGUCUUAGCUAGGCUAGGCCUAUUACAAUAACAACGAUCUUCUGAGUA
Long non-coding RNA from Carya illinoinensis, 871 nucleotides. RefSeq lists it as uncharacterized. The transcript is spliced from 2 exons. NCBI's taxonomy places the organism in Eukaryota, Viridiplantae, Streptophyta, Magnoliopsida, Fagales, Juglandaceae. The record is from RefSeq and is a predicted model, not a curated record.